This is a non-coding RNA of Camellia sinensis, 476 nucleotides long. Lineage: Eukaryota; Viridiplantae; Streptophyta; Magnoliopsida; Ericales; Theaceae. The record is from RefSeq and is a predicted model, not a curated record.
CAACGCUGCUACAGACCUCGACAAAGUGAGGCGCGAAUACCUCGAAUUGAGCUGGCAGUUCAAACUCUGGGUACAUUUCACGCGCCUUACUCAGUGUACAUCUCACGAGCCUUGAAGACUGAAGAGAACAAAUCUGCGUAUCUAGGAGAUAGAGAGACAGACGACCACAACCCAAGGGCUUAACCCCGACGACGACGACCUAGGUGGCCACCGACGACAACGAAGACCAUCGUUGAGCAUCAACCAUGGUCUAGCAGCCUCCAAUUCGUCCAGUUUCUUUGAAAAGUUCAACCUCCAACGACCAACAAGCAACUGAUUCAAGGAUAUUGCAAGUGCAGAACUUGCUCCAACACAUCCAAUCCGGCUUGGACUUGCUCUUAACUUUUUUGUAUUUUACUAUGAGAUUUUGAAAUCUCCUGACCGUGCUUGCAAUCUUGCCAAACAGAGCAACAAAAUGAUGGAAGGGUCAAACAAUC